This 84-nucleotide transfer RNA is filed under the name Brevundimonas sp. RNAcentral's name for it is "tRNA-Leu". It matches the Rfam family "tRNA". From Rfam's summary of the family: Transfer RNA (tRNA) molecules are approximately 80 nucleotides in length. The record is from RNAcentral. RNAcentral also lists the same sequence under 1 other name. Lineage: Bacteria; Pseudomonadati; Pseudomonadota; Alphaproteobacteria; Caulobacterales; Caulobacteraceae.
GCGGGCGUGGCGAAAUGGUAGACGCACCGGGCUUAAAACCCGGGUCCUUCUGGAGUGUCGGUUCGAGUCCGACCGCCCGCACCA